GGAGGGAUGGCCGAGUGGUCUAAGGCGGCUGUCUUGAAAACAGCUGUGGGGGCAACCUCACCGGGGGUUCGAAUCCCUCUCCCUCCGCCA
RNAcentral lists this transfer RNA (90 nucleotides) under Chloroflexi bacterium RBG_16_64_43. RNAcentral's name for it is "tRNA-Ser". It matches the Rfam family "tRNA". Rfam says of the family: Transfer RNA (tRNA) molecules are approximately 80 nucleotides in length. The record is from RNAcentral. Lineage: Bacteria; Bacillati; Chloroflexota. RNAcentral also lists the same sequence under 3 other names.